UACGAAGGGGGCUAGCGUUGCUCGGAAUCACUGGGCGUAAAGCGCACGUAGGCGGUUUGCUAAGUCAGGGGUGAAAUCCUGGAGCUCAACUCCAGAACUGCCUUUGAUACUGAAGAUCUUGAGUUCGGGAGAGGUGAGUGGAACUGCGAGUGUAGAGGUGAAAUUCGUAGAUAUUCGCAAGAACACCAGUGGCGAAGGCGGCUCACUGGCCCGAUACUGACGCUGAGGCACGAAAGCGUGGGGAGCAAACAGG
Molecule: ribosomal RNA, 253 nt
Filed under: uncultured bacterium
Lineage: Bacteria
Description: partial 16S ribosomal RNA
Rfam family: Bacterial small subunit ribosomal RNA
Source: RNAcentral